This 383-nucleotide ribosomal RNA is filed under the name uncultured bacterium. RNAcentral's name for it is "bacterial SSU rRNA". It matches the Rfam family "Bacterial small subunit ribosomal RNA", at positions 28 to 412 of the family's 1533-position model. The record is from RNAcentral.
GACGAACGCUGGCGGCGUGCUUAACACAUGCAAGUCGAGCGAGGCCCUUCCUUCGGGAAGGUGUCCUAGCGGCGAACGGGUGAGUAACACGUGGGCAACCUGCCCUCAGCUCUGGGAUAACUCCGGGAAACCGGGGCUAAUACCGGAUACGACCUCUAAGGGCAUCCGAAGAGGUGGAAAGUUUUUCGGCUGAGGAUGGGCCCGCGGCCUAUCAGCUUGUUGGUGGGGUGACGGCCUACCAAGGCGACGACGGGUAGCCGGCCUGAGAGGGUGACCGGCCACACUGGGACUGAGACACGGCCCAGACUCCUACGGGAGGCAGCAGUGGGGAAUAUUGCGCAAUGGGCGAAAGCCUGACGCAGCGACGCCGCGUGGGGGACGAA